AUACGGAGGGUGCAAGCGUUAAUCGGAAUCACUGGGCGUAAAGGACGCGUAGGCGGGUUGGCAAGUCAGAUGUGAAAUCCUACAGCUUAACUGUAGAACUGCAUUUGAAACUGCUAACCUAGAGUAUGAGAGGGGGAGAUGGAAUUAGUGGUGUAGGGGUAAAAUCCGUAGAUAUCACUAGGAAUACCGAAAGCGAAGGCGAUCUCCUGGAACAUAACUGACGCUAAGGCGUGAAAGCGUGGGGAGCAAACAGGAUUAGAAACCCUAGUAGUCC
Molecule: ribosomal RNA, 274 nt
Filed under: uncultured bacterium
Lineage: Bacteria
Description: partial 16S ribosomal RNA
Rfam family: Bacterial small subunit ribosomal RNA
Source: RNAcentral